AAAAACACAGCACUCUGCAAACACGAAAGUGGACGUAUAGGGUGUGACGCCUGCCCGGUGCUGGAAGAUUAAAUGAUGGGGUGCAAGCUCUUGAUUGAAGUCCCAGUAAACGGCGGCCGUAACUAUAACGGUCCUAAGGUAGCGAAAUUCCUUGUCGGGUAAGUUCCGACCUGCACGAAUGGCGUAACGAUGGCCACACUGUCUCCUCCAGAGACUCAGCGAAGUUGAAAUGUUUGUGAUGAUGCAAUCUCCCCGCGGAAAGACGGAAAGACCCCAUGAACCUUUACUGUAGCUUUGUAUUGGAUUUUGAACGGAUCUGUGUAGGAUAGGUGGGAGGCUUUGAAGUGAGGACGCUAGUUCUCAUGGAGCCGACGUUGAAAUACCACCCUGGUGCGUUUGAGGUUCUAACCCAGGUCCCUUAUCGGGAUCGGGGACAGUGCAUGGUAGGCAGUUUGACUGGGGCGGUCUCCUCCCAAAGCGUAACGGAGGAGUUCGAAGGUACGCUAGUUACGGUCGGACAUCGUGACGAUAGUGCAAUGGCAUAAGCGUGCUUAACUGCGAGACUGACAAGUCGAGCAGAUGCGAAAGCAGGACAUAGUGAUCCGGUGGUUCUGUAUGGAAGGGCCAUCGCUCAACGGAUAAAAGGUACUCUGGGGAUAACAGGCUGAUACCGCCCAAGAGUUCAUAUCGACGGCGGUGUUUGGCACCUCGAUGUCGGCUCAUCUCAUCCUGGGGCUGUAGUCGGUCCCAAGGGUAUGGCUGUUCGCCAUUUAAAGAGGUACGUGAGCUGGGUUUAAAACGUCGUGAGACAGUUUGGUCCCUAUCUUCCGUGGGCGCUGCAGAUUUGAGGAAGCCUGCUCCUAGUACGAGAGGACCGGAGUGGACACACCUCUGGUGUAUCGGUUGUCACGCCAGUGGCAUUGCCGAGUAGCUAAGUGUGGAAGAGAUAACCGCUGAAAGCAUCUAAGCGGGAAACUCGUUUCAAGAUGAGAUCUGCCGGGGCCUUGAGCCCCCUGAAGAGUCGUUCAAGACCAGGACGUUGAUAGGCUGGGUGUGGAAGCGCAGUAAUGCGUUAAGCUAACCAGUACUAAUUGCUCGUGAGGCUUGACCCUAUAACUUUG
Molecule: ribosomal RNA, 1121 nt
Filed under: Chryseobacterium sp. B5
Lineage: Bacteria; Pseudomonadati; Bacteroidota; Flavobacteriia; Flavobacteriales; Weeksellaceae
Description: bacterial LSU rRNA
Rfam family: Bacterial large subunit ribosomal RNA
Source: RNAcentral